GUGAUAGUAAUAUUUGCACAUGAUAAGUGUCGAAAUUUCAGUUUUGUAUACAUAAAAUAGUAUUCUUCCCUAGAAAUUGUCACCAAAUGAUGAGCACAACCAUACCGUUCGUGCGCAGACAGCCCAACACAGAAUCCAUAUCUUCUAUGCUUCUUGACGACUUAAGUCGGCAUGCUCUCGGUCUCAUGAAUAAUAUGGACACGACUUCUUGUGGGAGGAAAGGAAUGUGACAUGAGAGCACAUAGAUUAGUAGAAGUGUAGAACAAUAAGACAAUAUAAAAUGGUGGGUGGGAAAACAAAUGCUGACCGGUCCGGUCCGGUCUCAU
Molecule: long non-coding RNA, 326 nt
Filed under: Hordeum vulgare
Lineage: Eukaryota; Viridiplantae; Streptophyta; Magnoliopsida; Poales; Poaceae
Description: long non-coding RNA (HVUL_LNC000435)
Source: RNAcentral